This 406-nucleotide ribosomal RNA is filed under the name uncultured bacterium. RNAcentral describes it as "bacterial SSU rRNA". It matches the Rfam family "Bacterial small subunit ribosomal RNA", at positions 30 to 416 of the family's 1533-position model. The record is from RNAcentral.
AGCGAACGCUGGCGGCGUACUUAACACAUGCAAGUCGAACGGGGAUCAUCGGGUUAGCAAUAACUCGGUGGUCCUAGUGGCGCACGGGUGAGUAACACGUGGGUAACCUGCCCUGGAGACCGGGAUACCCCCUCGAAAGGGGGGCUAAUACCGGAUACGUUCCCUGGAUCGAGAGGUCUGGGGAGGAAAGGUGGCGAAAGCUGCCGCUCUUGGGAGGGGCUCGCGGCCUAUCAGCUAGUUGGCGGGGUAACGGCCCACCAAGGCUAUGACGGGUAGCUGGUCUGAGAGGACGACCAGCCACACGGGGACUGAGACACGGCCCCGACUCCUACGGGAGGCAGCAGUGGGGAAUUUUCCGCAAUGGGCGAAAGCCUGACGGAGUGACGCCGCGUGUGGGACGAAGGCC